RNAcentral lists this ribosomal RNA (445 nucleotides) under Rhizophagus irregularis. RNAcentral's name for it is "SSU rRNA". It matches the Rfam family "Eukaryotic small subunit ribosomal RNA", at positions 1357 to 1820 of the family's 1831-position model. Lineage: Eukaryota; Fungi; Glomeromycota; Glomeromycetes; Glomerales; Glomeraceae. The record is from RNAcentral.
AGCUAGGCCUAACAUUGUUAGGUCGCCAGCUUCUUAGAGGGACCAUCGGUGUUUAACCGAUGGAAGUUUGAGGCAAUAACAGGUCUGUGAUGCCCUUAGAUGUUCUGGGCCGCACGCACGCUACACUGAUGAAGUCAUCGAGUUCAUUUCCUUUAUCGGAAGAUAUGGGUAAUCUUUUGAAACUUCAUCGUGCUGGGGAUAGAGCAUUGCGACUAUUGCUCUUGAACGAGGAAUCCCUAGUAAGUACAAGUCACUAGCUUGUGCUGAUUACGUCCCUGCCCUUUGUACACACCGCCCGUCGCUACUACCGAUUGAAUGGCUUAGUGAGGCCUUCGGAUUGAAAUUCGGAGACUGGCAACAGACUCUUGGUUUUGAAAAGUUGGACAAACUUGGUCAUUUAGAGGAAGUAAAAGUCGUAACAAGGUUUCCGUAGGUGAACCUGCGG